Molecule: ribosomal RNA, 835 nt
Filed under: Micromonospora sp. IM-7086
Lineage: Bacteria; Bacillati; Actinomycetota; Actinomycetes; Micromonosporales; Micromonosporaceae
Description: bacterial SSU rRNA
Rfam family: Bacterial small subunit ribosomal RNA
Source: RNAcentral
GGCGGCGUGCUUAACACAUGCAAGUCGAGCGGAAAGGCCCUUCGGGGUACUCGAGCGGCGAACGGGUGAGUAACACGUGAGCAACCUGCCCUAGGCUUUGGGAUAACCCCGGGAAACCGGGGCUAAUACCGAAUAGGACCUCCGGUCGCAUGACUGGGGGUGGAAAGUUUUUCGGCCUGGGAUGGGCUCGCGGCCUAUCAGCUUGUUGGUGGGGUGAUGGCCUACCAAGGCGACGACGGGUAGCCGGCCUGAGAGGGCGACCGGCCACACUGGGACUGAGACACGGCCCAGACUCCUACGGGAGGCAGCAGUGGGGAAUAUUGCACAAUGGGCGGAAGCCUGAUGCAGCGACGCCGCGUGAGGGAUGACGGCCUUCGGGUUGUAAACCUCUUUCAGCAGGGACGAAGCGUAAGUGACGGUACCUGCAGAAGAAGCGCCGGCCAACUACGUGCCAGCAGCCGCGGUAAGACGUAGGGCGCGAGCGUUGUCCGGAUUUAUUGGGCGUAAAGAGCUCGUAGGCGGCUUGUCGCGUCGACUGUGAAAACCCGCGGCUCAACCGCGGGCCUGCAGUCGAUACGGGCAGGCUAGAGUUCGGUAGGGGAGACUGGAAUUCCUGGUGUAGCGGUGAAAUGCGCAGAUAUCAGGAGGAACACCGGUGGCGAAGGCGGGUCUCUGGGCCGAUACUGACGCUGAGGAGCGAAAGCGUGGGGAGCGAACAGGAUUAGAUACCCUGGUAGUCCACGCUGUAAACGUUGGGCGCUAGGUGUGGGGGGCCUCUCCGGUUCUCUGUGCCGCAGCUAACGCAUUAAGCGCCCCGCCUGGGGAGUACGGCCGC